Molecule: RNA transcript, 374 nt
Organism: Nannospalax galili (Upper Galilee mountains blind mole rat)
Lineage: Eukaryota; Metazoa; Chordata; Mammalia; Rodentia; Spalacidae
Gene name: prefoldin subunit 1 pseudogene
Exons: 1
Source: RefSeq, a predicted model, not a curated record
CCAAGAUGGUGGCCUCCGUGGACCUAGAGUUGAAGAAGGCCUUCAUAGAGCUUCAAGCCAAAGUUACUGACACUCAAAAUAAGGUGAAGCUUGUAGACGUACAGAUUGAACAGCUACACAGAAUGAAAAAGCACGCACAUCUUACUGACACAGAGAUUAUGACUUUGGUAGAUGAGACUAACAUGUAUGAAGGUGUAGGAAGAAUGUUUAUUCUACAAUCCAAGGAAGUAAUUCACAAUCAGCUGUUAGAGAAACAGAAAAUAGCAGAAGAAAAUGUUAGAGAACUAGAGCAGAAAAAGUCCUCCCUGGAGCGGAGCGUUAAGGAAGCCGAAGACAACAUCCUUGAAAUGCUGACGGUACAAAGGACAUGGUAG